Molecule: ribosomal RNA, 453 nt
Filed under: Tannerella forsythia
Lineage: Bacteria; Pseudomonadati; Bacteroidota; Bacteroidia; Bacteroidales; Tannerellaceae
Description: bacterial SSU rRNA
Rfam family: Bacterial small subunit ribosomal RNA
Source: RNAcentral
GAUGAACGCUAGCGAUAGGCUUAACACAUGCAAGUCGAGGGGCAUCGAGGGUAGCAAUACCUGUCGGCGACCGGCGCACGGGUGAGUAACGCGUAUGUAACCUGCCCGCAACAGAGGGAUAACCCGGCGAAAGUCGGACUAAUACCUCAUAAAACAGGGGUUCCGCGUGGGGCUAUUUGUUAAAGAUUUAUUGGUUGCGGAUGGGCAUGCGUACCAUUAGGUAGUUGGUGAGGUAACGGCUCACCAAGCCAUCGAUGGUUAGGGGUUCUGAGAGGAAGGUCCCCCACACUGGUACUGAGACACGGACCAGACUCCUACGGGAGGCAGCAGUGAGGAAUAUUGGUCAAUGGGCGAGAGCCUGAACCAGCCAAGUCGCGUGAAGGAUGACUGCCCUAUGGGUUGUAAACUUCUUUUACAGGGGAAUAAAAUGAGAUACGUGUAUUUGGUGCAUGU